This 496-nucleotide ribosomal RNA is filed under the name uncultured bacterium. RNAcentral's name for it is "partial 16S ribosomal RNA". It matches the Rfam family "Bacterial small subunit ribosomal RNA", at positions 28 to 507 of the family's 1533-position model. The record is from RNAcentral.
GAUGAACGCUGGCGGCGUGCCUAAUACAUGCAAGUCGAGCGAACAGACGAGGAGCUUGCUCCUCUGACGUUAGCGGCGGACGGGUGAGUAACACGUGGAUAACCUACCUAUAAGACUGGGAUAACUUCGGGAAACCGGAGCUAUACCGGAUAAUAUAUUGAACCGCAUGGUUCAAUAGUGAAAGACGGUUUUGCUGUCACUUAUAGAUGGAUCCGCGCCGCAUUAGCUAGUUGGUAAGGUAACGGCUUACCAAGGCAACGAUGCGUAGCCGGCCUGAGAGGGUGAUCGGCCACACUGGGACUGAGACACGGUCCAGACUCCUACGGGAGGCAGCAGUAGGGAAUCUUCCGCAAUGGGCGAAAGCCUGACGGAGCAACGCCGCGUGAGUGAUGAAGGUCUUCGGAUCGUAAAACUCUGUUAUUAGGGAAGAACAAAUGUGUAAGUAACUAUGCACGUCUUGACGGUACCUAAUCAGAAAGCCACGGCUAACUACGUG